RNAcentral lists this ribosomal RNA (2724 nucleotides) under Serendipita vermifera. RNAcentral describes it as "eukaryotic LSU rRNA". The stretch from base 1585 to 2724 matches the Rfam family "Eukaryotic large subunit ribosomal RNA", at positions 1 to 1130 of the family's 3401-position model. The record is from RNAcentral. Lineage: Eukaryota; Fungi; Basidiomycota; Agaricomycetes; Sebacinales; Serendipitaceae.
GACUCAACACGGGGAAACUCACCAGGUCCAGACAUAACUAGGAUUGACAGAUUGAUAGCUCUUUCUUGAUUUUAUGGGUGGUGGUGCAUGGCCGUUCUUAGUUGGUGGAGUGAUUUGUCUGGUUAAUUCCGAUAACGAACGAGACCUUAACCUGCUAAAUAGCCAGACCGUCUUUUGAUGGUUGCAGGCUUCUUAGAGGGACUGUCAGGAUCUACCUGACGGAAGUUUGAGGCAAUAACAGGUCUGUGAUGCCCUUAGAUGUUCUGGGCCGCACGCGCGCUACACUGACAAAGCCAGCGAGUUUAUCACCUUGGCCGGAAGGUCCGGGUAAUCUUGUGAAACUUUGUCGUGCUGGGGAUAGAGCAUUGCAAUUAUUGCUCUUCAACGAGGAAUGCCUAGUAAGCGCAAGUCAUCAGCUUGCGUUGAUUACGUCCCUGCCCUUUGUACACACCGCCCGUCGCUACUACCGAUUGAAUGGCUUAGUGAGGUCUUCGGAUUGGCGUUAGGGACCCGGCAACGGGACUCUUUUGCUGAGAAGUUGAUCAAACUUGGUCAUUUAGAGGAAGUAAAAGUCGUAACAAGGUUUCCGUAGCACAAGUCUACGAAGAACAGUAAUGUUCCUUCCGCAGAGUACACUUGCAGAAGCCUUAGUGGCCCGAAAGGGUGUCAUCAACGACUAUAAACAAGUAGAUGGAUUAAACGCUAGUCUCUUCUAGAGGCAACACUAUCAAAUUGCGGGAAGAUCCUGUCAUGUCCACAUCACCGCGGCUCACCGAAAGGUGCAGUGCAGCACCAGGUUAACUACCUUGGGAAUGGUAAUAGCAUGUUGGAAUAGGGAGAAUCCGCAGCCAAGCCCCUUUGUGGGGUGCAGUUCACAGGCCAAAUGGUAGUGGGCACUUCAAGUGCUUAAGAUAUGGUCGAGUCCCAGUUGUAAAGCUGGGUACAAGUACUCUUGCUUGGAUAUAAAAUGCAAAUGUUCCGUAGGUGAACCUGCGGAAGGAUCAUUAAUGAAUUAUAAGCCGGUCGUCUGUGCUGGUGGGGCAACUCACAUGUGCACGUCGAUCGCAAAUCCACACACCUGUGCACUUUUGACUUUGGGAUCCACUGGUUGGCUUGUCCGACUUGUAGCUGGUUUUGGUCUUGUACCUUGGCCUGGGUCUCAGAGUAAUUUUUACACACUCUGAAUGUAAUGGAAUGUCUUGUGCAUAAUGCAUAUAAAAACAACUUUCAACAACGGAUCUCUUGGCUCUCGCACCGAUGAAGAACGCAGCGAAAUGCGAUAAGUAAUGUGAAUUGCAGAAUUCAGUGAAUCAUCGAAUCUUUGAACGCACCUUGCACCUUUUGGUAUUCCGAAAGGUACACCCGUUUGAGUGUCAUUGUAAUCUCACUCCUUCAACUUUGUUGUUGCUGGAUGUGGACUUGGACUCUGUCGUGUUACAGCGACUGGUCUGAAAUGCCUGAGUACACCCUGCUGUUGCAGCGUCUUCAGUGUGAUAAGCAUCUUCACUGAUUCAAGUUCCUUCGGGACACGUAGCAUUGUGGGCUCUGUGCUGACAAACCGUCUUCGGACAAACUUUGACAAUUUGACCUCAAAUCGGGUGGGACUACCCGCUGAACUUAAGCAUAUCAAUAAGCGGAGGAAAAGAAACUAACAAGGAUUCCCCUAGUAACGGCGAGUGAAGAGGGAAAAGCUCAAAUUUUGAAUCUGGUGUCUUUGGCGCCCGAGUUGUAAUCUAGAGAAGUGUUUUCUGCCUCGGACCACACAUAAAUUCCCUGGAAUGGGGUGUCAUAGAGGGUGAGAAUCCCGUUUGUGGUGUGGACUACCUUGGCUCUGUGAUACACUCUCAACGAGUCGAGUUGUUUGGGAAUGCAGCUCAAAAUGGGUGGUAAAUUCCAUCUAAAGCUAAAUAUUGGCGAGAGACCGAUAGCGAACAAGUACCGUGAGGGAAAGAUGAAAAGCACUUUGGAAAGAGAGUGAAACAGUACGUGAAAUUGUUGAAAGGGAAGCGUUUGAAGUCAGUCACAUCGAUCGGAAUUCAGCCUGGCUUUGCCUGGUGUACUUUCUGGUAGAUGGGUCAGCGUCAAUUUCGACUGAGGGAAAAAGACUUGAGGAAUGUGGCUGUCUUCGGGCAGUGUUAUAGCCUCUUGUUGUAUGUCUCAGUUGGGAUUGAGGACCGCAGCACGCCAUUUGGCCGGGGUUCGCGCCCUCGGAACGUGCUUAGGACGCUGGCAUAAUGGCUUUAAGCGACCCGUCUUGAAACACGGACCAAGGAGUCUAACAUGUGCGCGAGUGUUUAGGUGUUAAACCUGGGCGCGUAAUGAAAGUGAAAGGUCGGGAUCAUGUACUUGUGCACCGACGCCCGGAGCAGACCUUCUGUGACGCAUCCGCGGUAGAGCGUAUAUGUUGGGACCCGAAAGAUGGUGAACUAUGCCUGAAUAGGGUGAAGCCAGAGGAAACUCUGGUGGAGGCUCGUAGCGAUUCUGACGUGCAAAUCGAUCGUCAAAUUUGGGUAUAGGGGCGAAAGACUAAUCGAACCAUCUAGUAGCUGGUUCCUGCCGAAGUUUCCCUCAGGAUAGCAGAAACUCAUUAUCAGCCUUGUGCGGUAAAGCGAAUGAUUAGAGGCCUUGGGGUUGAAACAACCUUAACCUAUUCUCAAACUCUAAAUGUGCAAGAUAGAGUUGUCACUUGAUUGGACUUCUCUGUGGGUGAGAGUUUCUAGUGGG